Molecule: ribosomal RNA, 443 nt
Filed under: uncultured bacterium
Lineage: Bacteria
Description: partial 16S ribosomal RNA
Rfam family: Bacterial small subunit ribosomal RNA
Source: RNAcentral
CCUACGGGAGGCAGCAGUGGGGAAUAUUGGGCAAUGGAGGCAACUCUGACCCAGCAAAGUCGCGUGAAUGAUGAAGGUCUUCGGAAUGGAAAGUUCUGUGAUGGGGGAUGAACACAAUGACGGUACCCCAAUAGCAAGCCACGCCUAAAUACGUGCCAGCAGCCGCGGUAAUACGUAGGUGGCAAGCGUUAGCCGGAAUGAAUGGGCGUAAAGGGUGCGUAGGUGGUUUAGUAAGUUGGCGGUGUAAUUCCGGGGCUCAACCUCGGCGCAACCGCCAAAACUAUUAGACUAGAGUGCAGGAGGGGUAAGUGGAAGUCCUAGUGUAGCGGUGGAAUGCGUAGAUAGUAGGAAGAACAUCAGGGGCGAAGGCGACUUACUGGACUGUAACUGACACUGAGGCACGAAAGCGUGGGGAGCGAACAGGAUUAGAUACCCGAGUAGUC